UCUUCAACAAAAUCAUUACAAAUUAAAUUAUUAAAUUAACCUAUUGUUCAAAUUUGUAAAAAAAGAAAACAAAAAAUAUUGAACUAAUAACAAGAAAAGAAAAGUACGAGCAAAGAGAAUAUUGUAACAAAAAAAUCAUACACCACAAAAAAAAUGGUACACUUGUAAAAUUGAAAAGAAAAGAAGCAUAUCGUAAAAAAUUGUAUGAAAAGAAGCAGGAUUGUCAAACGAUUAGUGUUACACCAUUUCAGAGUGUGUGGAAUCCUUGUUUUCCCAUGUGAUCAAAAAAUAAGUCUCAAUUGAUUAUUAUAAUUGAUUCAUUCUCUUCUAUUUAAGGUAUGUUUUGAUAAUUUUCCAAUACAAUAA
RNAcentral lists this long non-coding RNA (366 nucleotides) under Trifolium pratense (red clover). Its description in RNAcentral is "long non-coding RNA (TPRA_LNC011918)". Lineage: Eukaryota; Viridiplantae; Streptophyta; Magnoliopsida; Fabales; Fabaceae. The record is from RNAcentral.